This 292-nucleotide ribosomal RNA is filed under the name uncultured bacterium. RNAcentral describes it as "partial 16S ribosomal RNA". It matches the Rfam family "Bacterial small subunit ribosomal RNA", at positions 505 to 796 of the family's 1533-position model. The record is from RNAcentral.
GUGCCAGCAGCCGCGGUAAUACGUAGGGCGCAAGCGUUAUCCGGAAUUAUUGGGCGUAAAGAGCUCGUAGGCGGUUUGUCGCGUCUGCCGUGAAAGUCCGGGGCUCAACUCCGGAUCUGCGGUGGGUACGGGCAGACUAGAGUGAUGUAGGGGAGACUGGAAUUCCUGGUGUAGCGGUGAAAUGCGCAGAUAUCAGGAGGAACACCGAUGGCGAAGGCAGGUCUCUGGGCAUUAACUGACGCUGAGGAGCGAAAGCAUGGGGAGCGAACAGGAUUAGAUACCCUGGUAGUCC